UGGGGAAUAUUGGUCAAUGGACGCAAGUCUGAACCAGCCAUGUAGCGUGCAGGAUGACGGCCCUAUGGGUUGUAAACUGCUUUUAUAUGGGGAUAAAGUGGGGAACGUGUUCCCUUUUGCAGGUACCAUAUGAAUAAGGACCGGCCAAUUCCGUGCCAGCAGCCGCGGUAAUACGGAAGGUUCGGGCGUUAUACGGAUUUAUUGGGUUUAAAGGGAGCGUAGGCCGUUUGGUAAGCGUGUUGUGAAAUGUAGGAGCUCAACUUCUAGAUUGCAGCGCGGACUGUCAGACUUGAGUGCGCACAACGUAGGCGGAAUUCAUGGUGUAGCAGUGAAAUGCGUAGAUAUCAUGAAGAACUCCGAUUGCGAAGGAAGCUUACGGGAGCGCAACUGACGCUGAAGCUCGAAGGAGCGGGUAUCGAACAGG
RNAcentral lists this ribosomal RNA (424 nucleotides) under Verrucomicrobiota bacterium. RNAcentral describes it as "Verrucomicrobia bacterium partial 16S ribosomal RNA". It matches the Rfam family "Bacterial small subunit ribosomal RNA", at positions 355 to 776 of the family's 1533-position model. Lineage: Bacteria; Pseudomonadati; Verrucomicrobiota. The record is from RNAcentral.